Molecule: long non-coding RNA, 636 nt
Organism: Capsicum annuum
Lineage: Eukaryota; Viridiplantae; Streptophyta; Magnoliopsida; Solanales; Solanaceae
Exons: 3
Source: RefSeq, a predicted model, not a curated record
AUACUAGGAUCUCUUUACCUCCGAAUCAGUUACAAUGAAAUCUUAAUCAAUUCGCAUAUUUUUGGCUCAAUUUGUGAUUUUAAUCCUAAGGAGCUCUCUUCUUCUGUUACAACCUAAAAAUUGGUAGACAGUGGCAGCUUGAUAGUUGUUGAAAUAGUACUUUUGGUAUCCGUCAGAUUGUUUGAUGGUGGUAAAAGUCAGUCUUACUCACCGGCCAUCGUGGUCUUCUCGACGACUUCAAUUCCAGUUCUAUUUUUAGGAGAUUGCAUUUUUGUGAGUUAAAGGUUGGUGCGUCAUUUACAGGACAUCAGUCUGUUGUAAUUAAUCCACAAGGCACCCCUACACUACAAUCAUAUUUUCAUCCAAAUGGACCUCAGGUUCAGAAGCGCGAGAUCCAGAGCACCCUUAGCAGUCAAGACUCAGCCAGAAGUAGUAGAAGUAGCAGUGAGUCCUCUUUAUUUAAGGAUGAUCCUUAUUUUACUAUGGCAUUAGACUUAGUUUAUUUUCAGCAGGCAAAUUUUGUUGGGGACAUGUCCAUCAACUCCAUAGUUCAAACAAUUUAGAGGCUUUCAGGCUAUAGUAUUUUCCGACAGAUGUAUAAUUAUUCAGUUUUUAGAUUUGUGUAUUUUAGAUAUU